This 2815-nucleotide ribosomal RNA is filed under the name human gut metagenome. Its description in RNAcentral is "bacterial LSU rRNA". It matches the Rfam family "Bacterial large subunit ribosomal RNA". The record is from RNAcentral.
UUAAGCGACUAAGCGUACACGGUGGAUGCCCUGGCAGUCAGAGGCGAUGAAGGACGUGCUAAUCUGCGAUAAGCGUCGGUAAGGUGAUAUGAACCGUUAUAACCGGCGAUUUCCGAAUGGGGAAACCCAGUGUGUUUCGACACACUAUCAUUAACUGAAUCCAUAGGUUAAUGAGGCGAACCGGGGGAACUGAAACAUCUAAGUACCCCGAGGAAAAGAAAUCAACCGAGAUUCCCCCAGUAGCGGCGAGCGAACGGGGAGCAGCCCAGAGCCUGAAUCAGUGUGUGUGUUAGUGGAAGCGUCUGGAAAGGCGCGCGAUACAGGGUGACAGCCCCGUACACAAAAAUGCACAUGCUGUGAGCUCGAUGAGUAGGGCGGGACACGUGGUAUCCUGUCUGAAUAUGGGGGGACCAUCCUCCAAGGCUAAAUACUCCUGACUGACCGAUAGUGAACCAGUACCGUGAGGGAAAGGCGAAAAGAACCCCGGCGAGGGGAGUGAAAAAGAACCUGAAACCGUGUACGUACAAGCAGUGGGAGCACGCUUAGGCGUGUGACUGCGUACCUUUUGUAUAAUGGGUCAGCGACUUAUAUUCUGUAGCAAGGUUAACCGAAUAGGGGAGCCGAAGGGAAACCGAGUCUUAACUGGGCGUUAAGUUGCAGGGUAUAGACCCGAAACCCGGUGAUCUAGCCAUGGGCAGGUUGAAGGUUGGGUAACACUAACUGGAGGACCGAACCGACUAAUGUUGAAAAAUUAGCGGAUGACUUGUGGCUGGGGGUGAAAGGCCAAUCAAACCGGGAGAUAGCUGGUUCUCCCCGAAAGCUAUUUAGGUAGCGCCUCGUGAAUUCAUCUCCGGGGGUAGAGCACUGUUUCGGCAAGGGGGUCAUCCCGACUUACCAACCCGAUGCAAACUGCGAAUACCGGAGAAUGUUAUCACGGGAGACACACGGCGGGUGCUAACGUCCGUCGUGAAGAGGGAAACAACCCAGACCGCCAGCUAAGGUCCCAAAGUCAUGGUUAAGUGGGAAACGAUGUGGGAAGGCCCAGACAGCCAGGAUGUUGGCUUAGAAGCAGCCAUCAUUUAAAGAAAGCGUAAUAGCUCACUGGUCGAGUCGGCCUGCGCGGAAGAUGUAACGGGGCUAAACCAUGCACCGAAGCUGCGGCAGCGACGCUUAUGCGUUGUUGGGUAGGGGAGCGUUCUGUAAGCCUGUGAAGGUGUACUGUGAGGUAUGCUGGAGGUAUCAGAAGUGCGAAUGCUGACAUAAGUAACGAUAAAGCGGGUGAAAAGCCCGCUCGCCGGAAGACCAAGGGUUCCUGUCCAACGUUAAUCGGGGCAGGGUGAGUCGACCCCUAAGGCGAGGCCGAAAGGCGUAGUCGAUGGGAAACAGGUUAAUAUUCCUGUACUUGGUGUUACUGCGAAGGGGGGACGGAGAAGGCUAUGUUGGCCGGGCGACGGUUGUCCCGGUUUAAGCGUGUAGGCUGGUUUUCCAGGCAAAUCCGGAAAAUCAAGGCUGAGGCGUGAUGACGAGGCACUACGGUGCUGAAGCAACAAAUGCCCUGCUUCCAGGAAAAGCCUCUAAGCAUCAGGUAACAUCAAAUCGUACCCCAAACCGACACAGGUGGUCAGGUAGAGAAUACCAAGGCGCUUGAGAGAACUCGGGUGAAGGAACUAGGCAAAAUGGUGCCGUAACUUCGGGAGAAGGCACGCUGAUAUGUAGGUGAAGCGACUUGCUCGUGGAGCUGAAAUCAGUCGAAGAUACCAGCUGGCUGCAACUGUUUAUUAAAAACACAGCACUGUGCAAACACGAAAGUGGACGUAUACGGUGUGACGCCUGCCCGGUGCCGGAAGGUUAAUUGAUGGGGUCAGCGCAAGCGAAGCUCUUGAUCGAAGCCCCGGUAAACGGCGGCCGUAACUAUAACGGUCCUAAGGUAGCGAAAUUCCUUGUCGGGUAAGUUCCGACCUGCACGAAUGGCGUAAUGAUGGCCAGGCUGUCUCCACCCGAGACUCAGUGAAAUUGAACUCGCUGUGAAGAUGCAGUGUACCCGCGGCAAGACGGAAAGACCCCGUGAACCUUUACUAUAGCUUGACACUGAACAUUGAGCCUUGAUGUGUAGGAUAGGUGGGAGGCUUAGAAGUGUGGACGCCAGUCUGCAUGGAGCCGACCUUGAAAUACCACCCUUUAAUGUUUGAUGUUCUAACGUUGACCCGUAAUCCGGGUUGCGGACAGUGUCUGGUGGGUAGUUUGACUGGGGCGGUCUCCUCCUAAAGAGUAACGGAGGAGCACGAAGGUUGGCUAAUCCUGGUCGGACAUCAGGAGGUUAGUGCAAUGGCAUAAGCCAGCUUGACUGCGAGCGUGACGGCGCGAGCAGGUGCGAAAGCAGGUCAUAGUGAUCCGGUGGUUCUGAAUGGAAGGGCCAUCGCUCAACGGAUAAAAGGUACUCCGGGGAUAACAGGCUGAUACCGCCCAAGAGUUCAUAUCGACGGCGGUGUUUGGCACCUCGAUGUCGGCUCAUCACAUCCUGGGGCUGAAGUAGGUCCCAAGGGUAUGGCUGUUCGCCAUUUAAAGUGGUACGCGAGCUGGGUUUAGAACGUCGUGAGACAGUUCGGUCCCUAUCUGCCGUGGGCGCUGGAGAACUGAGGGGGGCUGCUCCUAGUACGAGAGGACCGGAGUGGACGCAUCACUGGUGUUCGGGUUGUCAUGCCAAUGGCACUGCCCGGUAGCUAAAUGCGGAAGAGAUAAGUGCUGAAAGCAUCUAAGCACGAAACUUGCCCCGAGAUGAGUUCUCCCUGACCCUUUAAGGGUCCUGAAGGAACGU